Molecule: ribosomal RNA, 460 nt
Filed under: uncultured bacterium
Lineage: Bacteria
Description: partial 16S ribosomal RNA
Rfam family: Bacterial small subunit ribosomal RNA
Source: RNAcentral
CCUACGGGAUGCAGCAGUGAGGAAUAUUGGUCAAUGGGCGCGAGCCUGAACCAGCCAAGUAGCGUGAAGGAUGACUGCCCUACGGGUUGUAAACUUCUUUUCUAAAGGACUAAAGUGAGGCACGUGUGCCUUUUUGUAUGUCCUUUAUGAAUAAGGAUCGGCUAACUCCGUGCCAGCAGCCGCGGUAAUACGGAGAAUCCGAGCUUUAUCCGGAUUUAUUGGGUUUAAAGGGAGCGUAGAUGGGUUGUUAAGUCAGUUUUGAAAGUUUGCGGUUCAACCGUAAAAUUGCAAUUGAUACUGGCAGCCUUGAGGACAGUUGAGGUAGGCGGAAUUCGUGGUGUAGCGGUGAAAUGCUUAGAUAUCACGAAGAACUCCGAUUGCGAAGGCAGCCUACUAAACUGCCACUGACAUUGAUGCUCGAAAGUGUGGGUAUCAAACAGGAUUAGAGACCCCUGUAGUC